This 1583-nucleotide small RNA is filed under the name Pan troglodytes (chimpanzee). RNAcentral describes it as "processed transcript". Lineage: Eukaryota; Metazoa; Chordata; Mammalia; Primates; Hominidae. The record is from RNAcentral.
ACAUUUUAUCCUUAAAAAAAAAAAAAAAAGAAAGAAAAUAUUUAAUUUUUAAAUACCAAUUUUUAGAGUAAGAAAUUGGUUUGAUAGUUAUCUCUAAUAGUGUCAAAUGAGUAUUUUUUUUCCUUUUUCUCUUUUUUGAAUAUCAUGGACUUCAGAUGUUUUAAAAUCCAAUAUUUUACCCUCAGUUACAGUCACUGUUCAUUUUUUAUUGAGAUAUAAUUCAGAUACCAUAAAAUUCACCUUUUAAAACAUACAAUUCAACAUUUAAAAAUGUAUUCACAAAGUUGUGGAACCACCACUACUAUCUACUUCCAGAAUAUUCAUCCCCUGCCCCCCUGAAAGAAGCCCUGCCCUCUUUAGCAAUCACACCCCAUUACUCCUUCCCUUCAGCCGCAGGCAACCACUCACCUGCUAGUUCUGUCUUGUAGAUGUGCCUGUUCUGGACAUUUCGUGUAAAUGGAAUCAGACAAUAUGUGGCCUUUCAUGUCUGGCAUCUUUCAGCACAGUGUUUCGAGGUUCAUUCAUGUUUGUAGCACUUCAUUUCUAAUAUUCCAUUGUAUGGAUAUACCACAUUUUGUACAUCAGUUGAUGGAUACAUGUACGUUUUAUAUGAACAGUUCCCAUGGCUUUUCCACUCAAGUUAGGAUUUCUUGGUUUAAGCCAGGUAGGGUAAAAGGUGGAGCUGAGUUUGGUGACUGUGCUUAUUGUCAAAUGCUGCUUCUUCCAUAUGUUGCAGUCUAAUGCUGGCGUGCUAUGCGGGACACCUAGAUGUUGUGAAAUAUCUCCGAAGACAUGGCGCUUCUUGGCAGGCUAGAGACCUGGGAGGCUGUACAGCUCUGCACUGGGCUGCAGAUGGAGGCCACUGCAGUGUGAUUGAGUGGAUGAUAAAGGAUGGCUGUGAGGUAGACGUCGUGGACACUGGUUCAGGAUGGACCCCACUCAUGAGAGUCUCUGCGGUGUCGGGAAAUCAGAGGGUGGCCUCUCUUCUAAUUGAUGCUGGGGCCAAUGUGAAUGUGAAGGACAGAAAUGGAAAGACGCCCCUUAUGGUGGCUGUGUUAAAUAAUCAUGAAGAGUUAGUUCAGUUACUUCUUGACAGAGGGGCAGAUGCAAGUGUAAAAAAUGAGGUAAAUGAGUCCAUCUUUAUGUAAAGAUUUUCCUCAGAGGGGGAGAAAACAUUUAUAAGCAUGUAAAAUUUUUGUUGUUUCCUGUUUCAGUUCGGCAAAGGUGUCCUAGAAAUGGCCAGAGUUUUUGACAGACAGGUUGGGAUGCUUUUUCUGCCUAUCAAGGCUAAUUUUUAGUCCUUCUAGACUCAGAAAAACCACCAAAACCCUGGAUUACAUUUGCCUGUCUGUUUUGUUUAUCUAGAGUGUAGUCUCCUUAUUAGAAGAAAGGAAAAAAAAGCAGAGGCCAAAGAAGUCUUGUGUCUGCUGAUGAGAGCACCACUCAUCUGCGAAACGCACGUAAAACAAAGUGAACCGUGACUGUUAAACUAGGGAUGGGAAAUUCUGCAUCUUGGGGGGCUGUACAUUUAUUUAUUUAGUUGAAGAUUCACUGAUCCCACUUUGAAAUACAUCUUUUUACCU